UUACGGAAGGCAGCAGUGGGGAAUUUUGGACAAUGGGCGCAAGCCUGAUCCAGCAAUGCCGCGUGAGUGAAGAAGGCCUUCGGGUUGUAAAGCUCUUUCAGUCGAGAAGAAAAGGUUGUGACUAAUAAUUGCAACUUAUGACGGUAUCGACAGAAGAAGCACCGGCUAACUACGUGCCAGCAGCCGCGGUAAUACGUAGGGUGCGAGCGUUAAUCGGAAUUACUGGGCGUAAAGGGUGCGCAGGCGGUUCUGUAAGUCAGAUGUGAAAUCCCCGGGCUUAACCUGGGAACUGCGUUUGAAACUACAGAGCUAGAGUGUGGCAGAGGGGGGUGGAAUUCCAUGUGUAGCAGUGAAAUGCGUAGAGAUAUGGAAGAACAUCGAUGGCGAAGGCAGCCCCCUGGGUUAACACUGACGCUCAUGCACGAAAGCGUGGGGAGCAAACAGGAUUAGAUACCCUGGUAGC
This 463-nucleotide ribosomal RNA is filed under the name uncultured bacterium. RNAcentral's name for it is "bacterial SSU rRNA". It matches the Rfam family "Bacterial small subunit ribosomal RNA", at positions 339 to 794 of the family's 1533-position model. The record is from RNAcentral.